This 901-nucleotide long non-coding RNA is filed under the name Vigna radiata. RNAcentral's name for it is "long non-coding RNA (VRAD_LNC009018)". Lineage: Eukaryota; Viridiplantae; Streptophyta; Magnoliopsida; Fabales; Fabaceae. The record is from RNAcentral.
ACGAGGAGAAGGCAUGGCGAUUGACGCUGGGUGGACCUGAGGGAAACCGCCGGGCGGCACACUUAAACCGCCCGGCGGUGGCUCGCUGGACUUGGGCCCGUUUUCUGAUGCGUUCCUCACCUAUAUAUACUCCUAUUACGAAUUCAGAAUCAUUCUUUUGACAGGGGAGAACGNCCAGACCUAAUUUUNCUCUCUGGAGAGGAUNUCUUGGAUGCUUAGGCUCCUUUUCAUCUUUUCUAGGGUUUGCUUUUCCAUUCUUCUUCCAUUUUUCAUCUAGUUUCACCAUGUCUAUGGUGAACUAAACCCUAUUGUUGUUGGGGGAAACAAUGUAAUCUUUUGAUACUCUCUCUUAUUGAAUCUCUUGAUUAUUUAUAUGGUUGAUUAUUUAUAUGAUUGAUUAUUGUUGAGUUAUCAUCUGUGCUUAAGGCCUUUAUCGUUUAACUCAUUCGGUAUAUUGAUGUUUGUCUUUAUUGAUAUGGGGACGUACAGUAAUGACAUGAACUGGUGAGUAAUCUCUUGAUUUUGCAAUACCACCUAGGGAUAGGGGUAGGACGAUCAAUUGCGCUAACUUUUGUUUAUAAUGCAGUAUUAAUUACUAGGGGAGGCUAGGGAUAGCAAGCCAGUAGUUAAUAUUAGGCCCUUUUCACCGAGGGAUUGGGUUAAGGGAAGGCUAAGAAAGUCACAUAACAAUUGAAUCAAUCAAACUAAUAUUCAAGGGUAGUAUGUAAGAGAGAGCGGAAUAGAUGAAAUUGUAACCCCCAACAACAUCCAUUCAUCCAUUGUUUUCGUUUGUCAAUUGAAUCAACUUUAUUUUUGCAUGUUAAUGUUUUUGUUCUUAAAUCCAAUUUAUUAAUUUUUAUUUUUCAAGUCUUAUUAUUUUAAUUCACGCGAACAAGGAAGU